UACAGAGGGUGCGAGCGUUGUCCGGAAUCACUGGGCGUAAAGGGCGCGUAGGCGGUCUUUUAAGCGUGUGGUGAAAGCCCGGGGCUCAACCCCGGGUCGGCCGUGCGAACUGGGAGACUGGAGCAUGUCAGAGGCGGGCGGAAUUCCGGGUGUAGCGGUGGAAUGCGUAGAGAUCCGGAAGAACACCGGUGGCGAAGGCGGCCCGCUGGGACAUGGCUGACGCUGAGGCGCGACAGCGUGGGGAGCAAACAGG
Molecule: ribosomal RNA, 253 nt
Filed under: uncultured bacterium
Lineage: Bacteria
Description: partial 16S ribosomal RNA
Rfam family: Bacterial small subunit ribosomal RNA
Source: RNAcentral